GGCCAUAGUGGGUGAUAGCCCUGUACGCGAAAAUCCCUUUGCAAUGAAAUCGAGUAGGACGGGGCACGAGAAACCUUGUCUGAAUAUGGGGGGACCAUCCUCCAAGGCUAAAUACUACUGACUGACCGAUAGUGAACCAGUACCGUGAGGGAAAGGCGAAAAGAACCGCGGAGAGCGGAGUGAAAUAGAUCCUGAAACCGUAUGCGUACAAGCAGUGGGAGCCCACUUUGUUGGGUGACUGCGUACCUUUUGUAUAAUGGGUCAGCGACUUAUUUUCAGUGGCGAGCUUAACCGAAUAGGGGAGGCGUAGCGAAAGCGAGUCUUAAUAGGGCGUCUAGUCGCUGGGAAUAGACCCGAAACCGGGCGAUCUAUCCAUGGGCAGGUUGAAGGUUGGGUAACACUAACUGGAGGACCGAACCGACUACCGUUGAAAAGUUAGCGGAUGACCUGUGGAUCGGAGUGAAAGGCUAAUCAAGCUCGGAGAUAGCUGGUUCUCCUCGAAAGCUAUUUAGGUAGCGCCUCAUGUAUCACUGUAGGGGGUAGAGCACUGUUUCGGCUAGGGGGUCAUCCCGACUUACCAAACCGAUGCAAACUCCGAAUACCUACAAGUGCCGAGCAUGGGAGACACACGGCGGGUGCUAACGUCCGUCGUGAAAAGGGAAACAACCCAGACCGUCAGCUAAGGUCCCAAAGUCAUGGUUAAGUGGGAAACGAUGUGGGAAGGCUUAGACAGCUAGGAGGUUGGCUUAGAAGCAGCCACCCUUUAAAGAAAGCGUAAUAGCUCACUAGUCGAGUCGGCCUGCGCGGAAGAUGUAACGGGGCUCAAACCAUGCACCGAAGCUACGGGUAUCAUCUUUUGAUGAUGCGGUAGAGGAGCGUUCUGUAAGCCUGUGAAGGUGAGUUGAGAAGCUUGCUGGAGGUAUCAGAAGUGCGAAUGCUGACAUGAGUAACGACAAUGGGUGUGAAAAACACCCACGCCGAAAGACCAAGGUUUCCUGCGCAACGUUAAUCGACGCAGGGUUAGUCGGUCCCUAAGGCGAGGCUGAAAAGCGUAGUCGAUGGAAAACAGGUUAAUAUUCCUGUACUUCUGGUUAUUGCGAUGGAGGGACGGAGAAGGCUAGGCCAGCCUGGCGUUGGUUGUCCAGGUUUAAGGUGGUAGGCUGAGAUCUUAGGUAAAUCCGGGAUCUCAAGGCCGAGAGCUGAUGACGAGUGUUCUUUAGAACACGAAGUGGUUGAUGCCAUGCUUCCAAGAAAAGCUUCUAAGCUUCAGGUAACCAGGAACCGUACCCCAAACCGACACAGGUGGUUGGGUAGAGAAUACCAAGGCGCUUGAGAGAACUCGGGUGAAGGAACUAGGCAAAAUGGCACCGUAACUUCGGGAGAAGGUGCGCCGGUGAGGGUGAAGCAUUUACUGCGUAAGCUCAUGCCGGUCGAAGAUACCAGGCCGCUGCGACUGUUUAUUAAAAACACAGCACUCUGCAAACACGAAAGUGGACGUAUAGGGUGUGACGCCUGCCCGGUGCCGGAAGGUUAAUUGAUGGGGUUAGCGCAAGCGAAGCUCUUGAUCGAAGCCCCGGUAAACGGCGGCCGUAACUAUAACGGUCCUAAGGUAGCGAAAUUCCUUGUCGGGUAAGUUCCGACCUGCACGAAUGGCGUAACGAUGGCGGCGCUGUCUCCACCCGAGACUCAGUGAAAUUGAAAUCGCUGUGAAGAUGCAGUGUAUCCGCGGCUAGACGGAAAGACCCCGUGAACCUUUACUAUAGCUUUGCACUGGACUUUGAAUUUGCUUGUGUAGGAUAGGUGGGAGGCUUUGAAGCGUGGACGCCAGUCUGCGUGGAGCCAACCUUGAAAUACCACCCUGGCAACUUUGAGGUUCUAACUCAGGUCCGUUAUCCGGAUCGAGGACAGUGUAUGGUGGGUAGUUUGACUGGGGCGGUCUCCUCCUAAAGAGUAACGGAGGAGUACGAAGGUGCGCUCAGACCGGUCGGAAAUCGGUCGUAGAGUAUAAAGGCAAAAGCGCGCUUGACUGCGAGACAGACACGUCGAGCAGGUACGAAAGUAGGUCUUAGUGAUCCGGUGGUUCUGUAUGGAAGGGCCAUCGCUCAACGGAUAAAAGGUACUCCGGGGAUAACAGGCUGAUACCGCCCAAGAGUUCAUAUCGACGGCGGUGUUUGGCACCUCGAUGUCGGCUCAUCACAUCCUGGGGCUGAAGCCGGUCCCAAGGGUAUGGCUGUUCGCCAUUUAAAGUGGUACGCGAGCUGGGUUUAGAACGUCGUGAGACAGUUCGGUCCCUAUCUGCCGUGGACGUUUGAGAUUUGAGAGGGGCUGCUCCUAGUACGAGAGGACCGGAGUGGACGAACCUCUGGUGUUCCGGUUGUCACGCCAGUGGCAUUGCCGGGUAGCUAUGUUCGGAAAAGAUAACCGCUGAAAGCAUCUAAGCGGGAAACUUGCCUCAAGAUGAGAUCUCACUGGAACCUUGAGUUCCCUAAAGGGCCGUCGAAGACUACGACGUUGAUAGGUUGGGUGUGUAAGCGCUGUGAGGCGUUGAGCUAACCAAUACUAAUUGCCCGUGAGGCUUGACCAUAUAACACCCAAGCAAUU
This 2601-nucleotide ribosomal RNA is filed under the name Pseudomonas syringae. Its description in RNAcentral is "bacterial LSU rRNA". It matches the Rfam family "Bacterial large subunit ribosomal RNA", at positions 353 to 2925 of the family's 2925-position model. The record is from RNAcentral. Lineage: Bacteria; Pseudomonadati; Pseudomonadota; Gammaproteobacteria; Pseudomonadales; Pseudomonadaceae.